GUGGGGCUUAAGGGAGAGAGCAGCAUCAAAGGUGACUCCUGAAUUUCUGGGCUCCAGCUCCUGCGUGGACGGAGAGGCCCUGCACUGGGAUAGCAACAGCAGGAGAAGGAAGGCUUUGGGGCAUGGAAAGGGUCGAUCAUGAGUUUAGCUUUGGGAAAUUUGAGAUCAACAUGCCAUAGGUACAUCUAAGUGGAGACAGAUAUUCAAUAUGGAGUUGUACGUAGGAAUUCUGCUCUAGACUGAGUGUUCCUAUCCCCCUAAGUUCAUAUGUUGAAACCCAAACCCCCAGUGGCAUGGUAUUUGGAAGUGGGGCCUUUGGCAGGUGAUCAGGUCAUGAAAGUGGAGCCCUUAGGAAUGGGAUUAGUGCCUUAUAUAAAAGAGGCCCCAGAGAGCUCCCUCGUCCCUCUGCCACGUGAGGACACAGAAAGAAGACGGCUGCCUACGAACCAGGAGGAGGGCUCUUACCACAGAGUGUGCCGGCGCCUUGACCCGGGCCUCCAGCCCCCGGAACCGUGAGGAAUACGUGUUUGCAGUCUAUAAGCCACCAGGCUGCGGUGUUUUUGUUGUGGCUGCCCAAACGGACUAAGACGAAUCCCUAGCUGCAGAGAAGAAUCUGGGAUGGAUAUUUCCACUUUGGGAGCCAUCAGAUGAAAGAAUCCUUGAAGAUAUGACAGUGAAUAAGAUUGCCUCGAGAGUGUGUGUAUCCAUGAGAAUGGCGAAGACAAAAAGAAGUCUGAGGAACAUUUAAAGAAGACGCUAGACAGAGACAUAUGUGGAGAAGGUAUAGCCUGGGAAGUAGAAGGAAAACCAAGAGUGAGAAGUCACUGAAACCAAAGGAAAAGAUGGCUUUCCUUUGGGGAAAUGGCCAACGCUGUAGAAUGCUGCUGAGGGUCAAAUAAGGGUCAGAGAAAAGAUGUGAGAUUUGAAAGUCAACCGCAAUGAUGUUGACGGGCAUUAGAAAUCAAUUCUCGACCAUGGCCGUUCAGACUGCUUAUUCCUGACAGCUAAAGACUAAAUCUGAAUCUUGACCGCAUUCCCAGAAUCGCCUUUCCCUCCUGCAUGGAAAGGAGGAGAUUCCUCUGUAAUGAAGACAUACGUUUGAAGUCAUAAGGCUCUAAUUGAAAGUACGUGCCUUAAGACAUCACAUUAAAGCUUAGAUUACUCCUAAGAUUGCUUUAGAAUGCAGACAUAUUAAAGGCUCAGAAAGCUGUCAACUUACAUGACUCCCGUUCCUGAGUUUGAGGCAGCGAUCUUCCUGUGUUCA
Molecule: long non-coding RNA, 1264 nt
Filed under: Equus asinus (donkey)
Lineage: Eukaryota; Metazoa; Chordata; Mammalia; Perissodactyla; Equidae
Description: lncRNA (ENSEASG00005023708.1)
Source: RNAcentral